CCCAAUAACAGCAUUGUACAGUAAAGCGGGAAGUCAAUAGGCAGGGUAAAAGGGUGGUCCACUGACACAAAUCACGUGACCAGAACUGCCAAAAAGGGGGCAUGGUUGUCCAAAGAAUUGGAAGGCCAGCCUGGGACACAGUGAGACAUGGGGACACUGAGAGCCCCGGGGACACAGACACUUCGUGACACUGGGAGACAUGGGGGCACUGGACACACUUGGG
Molecule: non-coding RNA, 223 nt
Organism: Pelobates cultripes (western spadefoot toad)
Lineage: Eukaryota; Metazoa; Chordata; Amphibia; Anura; Pelobatidae
Source: the annotation of a GenBank genome assembly